Molecule: RNA transcript, 1238 nt
Organism: Capsicum annuum
Lineage: Eukaryota; Viridiplantae; Streptophyta; Magnoliopsida; Solanales; Solanaceae
Exons: 2
Source: RefSeq, a predicted model, not a curated record
GAAAAUAUAUUUUACCACGCAAUAAAAAUGAGGUUUUUCAAACCGACCUCUUGAAUCUUUAUUUUGGAAAAAAAUUAAAAAAGAUACUAUUUGAUCAAUAUUUCAACCAACCUCCGAAGGUUGAUUAUUUUUACUUGUAGUAACUAAAUAAUUGUUCAAAUUGGAAACAACCUAGCUAGCUAGCCAUCGGCCUCAUCAAUGCUAAGCUGCAAUAUAUAUCAACAUCUUUAAUACUCUCUCUCCGUCUCAUUUUACCCGUCCUAAAUUUCUUCAAUCUGGUAUCCCAUUUUACUUAUCCUUUUUUACUAAUCAAGACAAAACAAUUUUUUUUCUUCAUAUUUUACCCUUUGCAUUAAUUACUUUUUCUUUAAAUUAAAAUGUAAACAUCAUUUAAUAUGAGUACUAUGGUAAACUAGCCAUGUUAUUUAUUAUUUUUCUUAAUAGCCUGCCAUCCCAAUUUGAGACGAGUAAAAUGAGACGGAGGGAGUAUCUUCGUAUUAAUUCAUUAUUUUCAGCUCUUCAUCACCCUUUCUUAAUUCUCAGCAAAAAAUUACUUUUCAAUGGCUGUAACUAUGAGGGUAACAACACCUUUAAUUUGCUUCGCUCUUUUAGCUUCAAUUGUCUUUCUCUCUAAAAUAUGGUCCAAUGUGGAAGAUCCAACCUUACAAUUGAGGUAUAUGUAUAUGUAAAUGCAGUAUUACUGAAGUCUGAAAGAACGGUUUUUCGUUUUAUGUGAUGGAAUUGAUCUUUUUUGUAAACUAUUCAUGGAGACUUGUACGAUUGUGUAAAUAUCUAUAAACAACUGACACUUUUGGAUCCGAAACUGGGGACAACAAGAAUUAAGAGGAUCAUUUCGAAGGAACUGGAAAGACAGAUUGAAAGCUGUGCAACCAAAAAAGGUGCCCAAGUCAGGUGGUUUCAUGGCAGAGGAAUAUGGGUCGAACAAGGAAGAAUGUUCAAUUGGAACUGUGCCUAUACGCAAAGCGACAACGAAACAACUCCCAAGUGCUAGAUAUGCCUCCUCAAGCUUGGCUCAUGUAUACUUCGGAUAUAAAUGGAUUGAUGUAAUCUUUCUCGAGUUGAUGUUAUCAUAUAUACAUAUAUCUAUGUAAAUAUCUAGAGUUAUGCAUUUUGAUUUGGCUUUAAUUUGUCACUAGGAGUACUUUAAGACUCAACAGUACUAAUAUAAGUUAAUUGGACUUUCUGCUAAUAAGAUGUUCUGGAUUUUUUUCUGCUUA